GAAGCUACGCGAAGAACCUUACCAGGUCUUGACAUACUAUGCAAAUCUAAGAGAUUAGACGUUCCCUUCGGGGACAUGGAUACAGGUGGUGCAUGGUUGUCGUCAGCUCGUGUCGUGAGAUGUUGGGUUAAGUCCCGCAACGAGCGCAACCCUUAUUAUCAGUUGCCAGCAUUAAGUUGGGCACUCUGGUGAGACUGCCGGUGACAAACCGGAGGAAGGUGGGGAUGACGUCAAAUCAUCAUGCCCCUUAUGACCUGGGCUACACACGUGCUACAAUGGAUGGUACAACGAGUUGCGAACUCGCGAGAGUAAGCUAAUCUCUUAAAGCCAUUCUCAGUUCGGAUUGUAGGCUGCAACUCGCCUACAUGAAGUCGGAAUCGCUAGUAAUCGCGGAUCAGCAUGCCGCGGUGAAUACGUUCCCGGGCCUUGUACACACCGCCCGUCACACCAUGAGAGUUUGUAACACCCAAAGUCGGUGGGGU
This 482-nucleotide ribosomal RNA is filed under the name Lactiplantibacillus plantarum. RNAcentral describes it as "bacterial SSU rRNA". It matches the Rfam family "Bacterial small subunit ribosomal RNA", at positions 953 to 1436 of the family's 1533-position model. Lineage: Bacteria; Bacillati; Bacillota; Bacilli; Lactobacillales; Lactobacillaceae. The record is from RNAcentral.